CAACAGUGUUGCCUUCAAAUGCUGCCAGUAAUUCCCAUACUGAAACGCGAAAGUUUCGCGAAAAUGUGAAAGCAAACAAGUACUAAAUUGGCAUAGUGUUCCAAAGUUGCGUUGUGUGUGUGCUAGGGCAGACAGAAAGGAGCAGACGGCUGAGUUUAUUUAAUUCCACCGAGACAUCUGAUGACGCAAAACUGAAGGCUAGACCGUCCAAUUUCACAGCCGCUCACUUCCGGCCUACCGGGACUUCGGAGGACCCGGCCCACGUAGACCGCGAAGGCCGGGUCCUCAGGUGGAUGCAGGCAGGCUAUGAAUUUGGACACCCCUACAGCUAUACUCAGGGGAUCCAGGAUGAAACUGAAACACCUAGACAAUGUCAGCUGAAGAAGACAGGUGAAAGAGACACAACCAAACACUAAUGUCUAUGUGAAUUAGGCAACUGGGAAGAGACCUGGAUCUCAUUGAGAGGAGGGAAGGAAGAAAAGCAGCUCCUGAAUCCCUGUAGAAAUGCAGAUAAUCUGAAGCUUCAUUUAGGUCUCUCAUUCAUUUUUUUCUUCAUUUAUACCUUUUUUUUUUUAUCUUCACAUGAGUAAAUGCAACUUCAUGUGACCAGCGUAACCCAAAAAUGGAAAUAUAAAGGUAUAUUAGCUAUUUUAUAUAUUACUAAUAAAGCUACGUAUCAAACAUUAUAAGGACUUUGUAAUAACCUCCCUUUCAAAUGCAUUGGUGAAUGCUGUUUGAAGGGUGUGGAUUUGAUUUGCAGUGGGUUCACUUGUAGUGUGGUCCAAUUUUUGAGGCCUGUGGGCCAGACGCAGGUGGAGCAACAUUAAUAGUGACAUAUCAUUGAUCUCCUUUGUCUAAUGUUAGUUGUCGGCUUGUCUGCAAUUUCGGCAUGCUUCCUAAAAUUUGGCUUUGAAAAGUUGCUGCAGACCCGAUCUUGAUUGUUUUUUUUCUACAUGCUAUUAUUAAUGGAGAGUGUCUUCUGGUAGUUCAUGUUCAUUUUUUUGAGGAGACAGUUCCCUAAAAAAUGCCAAAACUUUACCUUUACUCAGCAACUUUAGCAGCAUGUUUGUGCAUGUCACAUCAGUUCUCCAAAUGACAGUGAAAUUGGCGCCUUUCAAAGCUUUCUGCCAGAAUCAAACAAUUUCCUGUACUGCAUCCUUGAAAAGAAUUCUACAUUCUUAUCUUCAUACUUCUUAACAACAAAAACUCUUUACACUGUCUCUCUCGUUCAAGUCCUCAUCGCUAUUGUGACAUUUACUAUAUCUUUGGACCUGUCACACUACAGUAAGAAACCUUCACGCGUGGCAAUUUCCUUCUUUCGGUUGGUCCUGCAAACUUUCCUGACAUGCCUUUUAUUUAAUCUUCAACAACAAUGUUGAGAUGCUUCAGUGGUCGUCUUACAGUUUAUAAACAAUAUAUAUUCCUGAAGUGGUAAAACACGUAAGAUGCUUUUCUAUCUACUCCUGUCUUUGUACGUAGGUCAAGUCAAAAAUGUGUGUCAGGGCAAGACGAUAGAACUGGUUUUGUGUUAGCAGUCUGUAGCCCGCAGCUCCUGCUCUACAUUUAAGGCAGUAGAGUGUAUAAAUGUGGAUAGA
This is a long non-coding RNA of Haplochromis burtoni (Burton's mouthbrooder), 1595 nucleotides long. RefSeq lists it as uncharacterized. NCBI's taxonomy places the organism in Eukaryota, Metazoa, Chordata, Actinopteri, Cichliformes, Cichlidae. The transcript is spliced from 3 exons. The record is from RefSeq and is a predicted model, not a curated record.